RNAcentral lists this long non-coding RNA (556 nucleotides) under Phoenix dactylifera (date palm). RNAcentral describes it as "long non-coding RNA (PDAC_LNC021818)". The record is from RNAcentral. Lineage: Eukaryota; Viridiplantae; Streptophyta; Magnoliopsida; Arecales; Arecaceae.
ACAGAGGAAAUAUGUAUGGUAAAGGUCCAAUGGCACCGGCACAAUGUUGAAGAAUGCACUUGGGAGUCGGAGCAGAAUAUGAAAAGCAGAUACACUCACCCCUUUGAGUAAUCAGGUAAUUUACUCUUUUAAAUUCGAGGACGAAUUUUAUAUAAGGGGGGGAGGAUGUAAUAACCCCAAAAUAUUUUUUUUAUAUAAAAAAGGAUAGAAUAGUCCUUUAAAAUUGAUAUGAGGGGUAAAAUUGGAAGGAAUGAAAAGAUAAUGACAUAGUUGUAGAUGCGUUGAAGUGGUAAGGGUAAAAUUGGAAAGGAAUCAAAAGUUAAUGGCAUAACCGUAGAUAUGUUGAAUUGUUAGGGGCAAAAUGGGAAUUUAAUAAUAUUAAAAAAAAGGGUGAAUAGUAUCUUGAUGUGAUUUAAUUGGAGAGUUUGAGCUGGCUUUUGGAAUGAAACCGAGAGAAAGAGGGAGGGGGUUCUCAGGCGUGAAACAGAGAGGAAAGAAAGAAAGAAAAAGAGAAGAAGAAGAAGAAGAAAGAAGAAGAGGAAGGGGAUUCGAGGAG